Molecule: ribosomal RNA, 470 nt
Filed under: uncultured organism
Description: partial 16S ribosomal RNA
Rfam family: Bacterial small subunit ribosomal RNA
Source: RNAcentral
GUACACUCCUGCGGGAGGCAGCAGUGAGGAAUAUUGGACAAUGGGUGGAAGCCUGAUCCAGCCAUCCCGCGUGCAGGAAGACGGCCCUAUGGGUUGUAAACUGCUUUUAUCUGGGGAUAAACCUACUUACGUGUAAGUAGCUGAAGGUACCAGAAGAAUAAGCACCGGCUAACUCCGUGCCAGCAGCCGCGGUAAUACGGAGGGUGCAAGCGUUAUCCGGAUUUAUUGGGUUUAAAGGGUCCGUAGGCGGACUGAUAAGUCAGUGGUGAAAUCCGACAGCUUAACUGUCGAACUGCCAUUGAUACUGUUAGUCUUGAGUAAGGUUGAAGUGGCUGGAAUAAGUAGUGUAGCGGUGAAAUGCAUAGAUAUUACUUAGAACACCAAUUGCGAAGGCAGGUCACUAAGUCUUAACUGACGCUGAUGGACGAAAGCGUGGGGAGCGAACAGGAUUAGAAACCCUUGUAGUCCCA